AGCGAACGCUGGCGGCAGGCUUAACACAUGCAAGUCGAGCGGGCCCUUCGGGGUCAGCGGCGGACGGGUGAGUAACGCGUGGGAACGUGCCUUCUGGUCUGGAAUAACCCUGGGAAACUAGGGCUAAUACCGGAUACGCCCUUUUGGGGAAAGGUUUACUGCCGGAAGAUCGGCCCGCGUCUGAUUAGCUAGUUGGUGGGGUAACGGCCUACCAAGGCGACGAUCAGUAGCUGGUCUGAGAGGAUGAUCAGCCACACUGGGACUGAGACACGGCCCAGACUCCUACGGGAGGCAGCAGUGGGGAAUAUUGGACAAUGGGCGCAAGCCUGAUCCAGCCAUGCCGCGUGAGUGAUGAGGGCCUUAGGGUUGUAAAGCUCUUUUAUCCGGGACGAUAAUGACGGUACCGGAGGAAUAAGCCCCGGCUAACUUCGUG
Molecule: ribosomal RNA, 433 nt
Filed under: uncultured bacterium
Lineage: Bacteria
Description: partial 16S ribosomal RNA
Rfam family: Bacterial small subunit ribosomal RNA
Source: RNAcentral